UGCCCUUUGGUAUUUAUUUAAAGGUUGUUUCUGCUCGGUGGUUUUUAACAGCCGCGGUAAUUUGACCGUGCAAAGGUAGCAUAAUCAUUUGCCUUGUAAUUGAGGGCUAGUAUGAAUGAAUUAACAAGGGUCCUGCUUUAUUGGGGAAAGUUGAUGAAGUUUCUUUCUUAGUGAAGAAGCUAAGAUGCAGAAAGGGGACAAGAAGACCCUUUCGAGCUUUACUGAUAGUUUAGUCUUUUUGAUUGAUUUCAGUUUGGUUGGGGCGACCGAGGAAUAAGAUCUUCCUUUUCUAAUUUUGAUCCACAGUUUGUGAUUAAAAGAACAAGUUACCGAAGGGAUAACAGCGUAAUCCUCUUUAAGAGCUCUUAUUAAAAAGAGGGAUUGCGACCUCGAUGUUGACUUAUAGUUACCUUUCGGUGCAGUCGCUGUUAGGGUGGGUCUGUUCGACCUUUAAA
RNAcentral lists this ribosomal RNA (455 nucleotides) under Ototyphlonemertes chernyshevi complex sp. 1 HL-2022. RNAcentral describes it as "partial large subunit ribosomal RNA". It matches the Rfam family "Bacterial large subunit ribosomal RNA", at positions 1818 to 2592 of the family's 2925-position model. The record is from RNAcentral. Lineage: Eukaryota; Metazoa; Nemertea; Enopla; Monostilifera; Ototyphlonemertidae.